CCCUUCCGUCUCCCUCUCUCUCGUUCCUUUUCUCACGCACAGAUGCAUCCCCUUUCUCCACCCCACGGCCACCCGAUUCCGGCAACCCCUGCCGUUCCCCGCCGCAUUCCCGACCUCGCCUCUGCCCGCUCUAUCAUCUGCACCGCCUGGAUUCUCUCCUCGCCUUCACCCACCCGCAGCUGGGCUAACUAACCCUAGCCGAGAUCGAGCAAGCGAGAGAGAGAGGGCUUCGGUGCGCCGCCGCCGCUGCCUUACGCGCGCCUCCUGGCCGUCGCCUUGUGCACGGAUGCGGCUUGGUUGCUUCCUUCGCGAACCCUCUCUUCGUCCGUCCGUCUUCGUGCGGCGGCAGGCGGCGCAUCCACCAGAUCCGCCGGGCGUGGCUCCCAGCUGGCCGCCACCAAGCAAGGGCUCCCGGAGCUGGCGUGGAUGACGGCGGCCGUGCUCGAGGUGGACGCCCAUGGCAUCCACUCUCGCGCACGCACCGGGAGAGGGAGAGGAUGAGGAGGAGCAGGGUGCCUGUUUGCUUGCUGCAAGUCUGCCAUUCAGGGCCAACAUGGAGCUCUGUGGUGGGUACAAGUCAACAUAUAUAGGCAUUGUUCAAAUUUGCCGAUUAAUUUAUUCACCAUCAGGGGAGUUUCUGCUCCGCUCACGGCAAAUUUGACCAUUUUGACCUAUGGACGAAAUCAAUUCACGGAAUGAACUGACCGUGAAACUAUUUCACAGCCCUAACCUUUUUGUGUAGCGCCCGCGACGACGGCGCCACAUCCUACUGUGCAGCGCCUAGCGAGGGGGCGUUGCACACCAGUCCACCGUGGCAGCCCCUGGGCCCGCACCCAGCAGUGCAACGCCUUCGCGCUAGGCGCCACACAUGUAAUGUGCAGCGCCUAGAGCUCGGGCGCCACACUUGUAAAGUGCAGCGCCUAGCGCUUAGGCGCUGCACUGUGACUUAUCCAGCCACUCGGCUGGACCCCCCCCCUCCCCCACCCCACACCACACACUCUCCCACUCUCCUCCCCGAGCUUUGCCCCCUCUCCCACUCUCUCCCCCUCUCAAAUCCUCUCCCAAAUCUUGUAAAUUUGAAGAAUUUGUCCGUGGAUUUCGAAGUCAAACCCUCCCUCAAGGUAUGGCGGCAUCCCAACCCAACAAACCAACGAUGAAGGAGGAUGGCGAAGAUGAGAUGGCGGGAUGGUGGGAGAAGGCUGCGAAGAAGCUUAGAGAUGAGGAUGCAGCCAAGCUAAAGAAGAAGGAAGAGGAGCUUGAGAAGGAGAUGAAGAGGGAAGAGAGAGCGUCAAUGGCGAUGCGCGCUAGGGAGGCAGCGUUGGUGAGGAAAUGUGAGGAGGCACUGAAGAAGCGUCUAAAGGAUUUUCAAGAAAGAACCAUGAAGCUUUGGGCAAUUGCAGCUGAAAAAGAAGAGAGGGACAAUCAGAUAUUCAUGGAAAGGGUGGUUAAGGAGGCUCACCUCAUAAGAAAAAGGAAGGAGGAAGAGGAAGAAGAGAGGAAGAAGAAGAAGGGAAAGGGGCCUUGCUCUACGCAAUAAAGCUACUAUGUCUCCUCUUCGAUUUGGUUGUGAACUACUAUGUGUCGUGAACUACUAUGUCUCCUCCUCGAUUUGGUUGUGAACUACUAUGUGUCGUGAACUACUAUGUCUCCUCGAUUUGGUUGUAAUAACUACUAUGUGUCGUGAACUACUACGUCUCCUCCUCGAUUUGGUUGUAAGAACUAUUAUGUGUCGUGAAGUACUAUGUGUUAUGAACUAUGCGUCAUGCAUAUAUUCUCUUCACCGUUGUUAGAUUGCUAUGUAUCAA
Triticum dicoccoides is the source of this 1805-nucleotide RNA transcript. It is a transcript of the gene named axoneme-associated protein mst101(1)-like, with no coding region annotated. The transcript has 4 exons. The record is from RefSeq and is a predicted model, not a curated record. NCBI's taxonomy places the organism in Eukaryota, Viridiplantae, Streptophyta, Magnoliopsida, Poales, Poaceae.